RNAcentral lists this ribosomal RNA (468 nucleotides) under uncultured bacterium. Its description in RNAcentral is "partial 16S ribosomal RNA". It matches the Rfam family "Bacterial small subunit ribosomal RNA", at positions 28 to 507 of the family's 1533-position model. The record is from RNAcentral.
GACGAACGCUGGCGGCGUGCUUAACACAUGCAAGUCGAACGGAAAGGCCCUGCUUUUGUGGGGUGCUCGAGUGGCGAACGGGUGAGUAACACGUGAGUAACCUGCCCUUGACUUUGGGAUAACUUCAGGAAACUGGGGCUAAUACCGGAUAGGAGCUCCUGCUGCAUGGUGGGGGUUGGAAAGUUUCGGCGGUUGGGGAUGGACUCGCGGCUUAUCAGCUUGUUGGUGGGGUAGUGGCUUACCAAGGCUUUGACGGGUAGCCGGCCUGAGGGGGUGACCGGCCACAUUGGGACUGAGCUACGGCCCAGACUCCUACGGGAGGCAGCAGUGGGGAAUAUUGCACAAUGGGCGGAAGCCUGAUGCAGCAACGCCGCGUGCGGGAUGACGGCCUUCGGGUUGUAAACCGCUUUCGCCUGUGACGAAGCGUGAGUGACGGUAAUGGGUAAAGAAGCACCGGCUAACUACGUG